This 2528-nucleotide ribosomal RNA is filed under the name Escherichia coli. RNAcentral's name for it is "partial 23S ribosomal RNA". It matches the Rfam family "Bacterial large subunit ribosomal RNA", at positions 418 to 2925 of the family's 2925-position model. Lineage: Bacteria; Pseudomonadati; Pseudomonadota; Gammaproteobacteria; Enterobacterales; Enterobacteriaceae. The record is from RNAcentral.
CGGGACACGUGGUAUCCUGUCUGAAUAUGGGGGGACCAUCCUCCAAGGCUAAAUACUCCUGACUGACCGAUAGUGAACCAGUACCGUGAGGGAAAGGCGAAAAGAACCCCGGCGAGGGGAGUGAAAAAGAACCUGAAACCGUGUACGUACAAGCAGUGGGAGCACAGAGCAAUCUGUGUGACUGCGUACCUUUUGUAUAAUGGGUCAGCGACUUAUAUUCUGUAGCAAGGUUAACCGAAUAGGGGAGCCGAAGGGAAACCGAGUCUUAACUGGGCGUUAAGUUGCAGGGUAUAGACCCGAAACCCGGUGAUCUAGCCAUGGGCAGGUUGAAGGUUGGGUAACACUAACUGGAGGACCGAACCGACUAAUGUUGAAAAAUUAGCGGAUGACUUGUGGCUGGGGGUGAAAGGCCAAUCAAACCGGGAGAUAGCUGGUUCUCCCCGAAAGCUAUUUAGGUAGCGCCUCGUGAAUUCAUCUCCGGGGGUAGAGCACUGUUUCGGCAAGGGGGUCAUCCCGACUUACCAACCCGAUGCAAACUGCGAAUACCGGAGAAUGUUAUCACGGGAGACACACGGCGGGUGCUAACGUCCGUCGUGAAGAGGGAAACAACCCAGACCGCCAGCUAAGGUCCCAAAGUCAUGGUUAAGUGGGAAACGAUGUGGGAAGGCCCAGACAGCCAGGAUGUUGGCUUAGAAGCAGCCAUCAUUUAAAGAAAGCGUAAUAGCUCACUGGUCGAGUCGGCCUGCGCGGAAGAUGUAACGGGGCUAAACCAUGCACCGAAGCUGCGGCAGCGACACUAUGUGUUGUUGGGUAGGGGAGCGUUCUGUAAGCCUGUGAAGGUGUGCUGUGAGGCAUGCUGGAGGUAUCAGAAGUGCGAAUGCUGACAUAAGUAACGAUAAAGCGGGUGAAAAGCCCGCUCGCCGGAAGACCAAGGGUUCCUGUCCAACGUUAAUCGGGGCAGGGUGAGUCGACCCCUAAGGCGAGGCCGAAAGGCGUAGUCGAUGGGAAACAGGUUAAUAUUCCUGUACUUGGUGUUACUGCGAAGGGGGGACGGAGAAGGCUAUGUUGGCCGGGCGACGGUUGUCCCGGUUUAAGCGUGUAGGCUGGUUUUCCAGGCAAAUCCGGAAAAUCAAGGCUGAGGCGUGAUGACGAGGCACUACGGUGCUGAAGCAACAAAUGCCCUGCUUCCAGGAAAAGCCUCUAAGCAUCAGGUAACAUCAAAUCGUACCCCAAACCGACACAGGUGGUCAGGUAGAGAAUACCAAGGCGCUUGAGAGAACUCGGGUGAAGGAACUAGGCAAAAUGGUGCCGUAACUUCGGGAGAAGGCACGCUGAUAUGUAGGUGAAGCGACUUGCUCGUGGAGCUGAAAUCAGUCGAAGAUACCAGCUGGCUGCAACUGUUUAUUAAAAACACAGCACUGUGCAAACACGAAAGUGGACGUAUACGGUGUGACGCCUGCCCGGUGCCGGAAGGUUAAUUGAUGGGGUCAGCGCAAGCGAAGCUCUUGAUCGAAGCCCCGGUAAACGGCGGCCGUAACUAUAACGGUCCUAAGGUAGCGAAAUUCCUUGUCGGGUAAGUUCCGACCUGCACGAAUGGCGUAAUGAUGGCCAGGCUGUCUCCACCCGAGACUCAGUGAAAUUGAACUCGCUGUGAAGAUGCAGUGUACCCGCGGCAAGACGGAAAGACCCCGUGAACCUUUACUAUAGCUUGACACUGAACAUUGAGCCUUGAUGUGUAGGAUAGGUGGGAGGCUUUGAAGUGUGGACGCCAGUCUGCAUGGAGCCGACCUUGAAAUACCACCCUUUAAUGUUUGAUGUUCUAACGUUGACCCGUAAUCCGGGUUGCGGACAGUGUCUGGUGGGUAGUUUGACUGGGGCGGUCUCCUCCUAAAGAGUAACGGAGGAGCACGAAGGUUGGCUAAUCCUGGUCGGACAUCAGGAGGUUAGUGCAAUGGCAUAAGCCAGCUUGACUGCGAGCGUGACGGCGCGAGCAGGUGCGAAAGCAGGUCAUAGUGAUCCGGUGGUUCUGAAUGGAAGGGCCAUCGCUCAACGGAUAAAAGGUACUCCGGGGAUAACAGGCUGAUACCGCCCAAGAGUUCAUAUCGACGGCGGUGUUUGGCACCUCGAUGUCGGCUCAUCACAUCCUGGGGCUGAAGUAGGUCCCAAGGGUAUGGCUGUUCGCCAUUUAAAGUGGUACGCGAGCUGGGUUUAGAACGUCGUGAGACAGUUCGGUCCCUAUCUGCCGUGGGCGCUGGAGAACUGAGGGGGGCUGCUCCUAGUACGAGAGGACCGGAGUGGACGCAUCACUGGUGUUCGGGUUGUCAUGCCAAUGGCACUGCCCGGUAGCUAAAUGCGGAAGAGAUAAGUGCUGAAAGCAUCUAAGCACGAAACUUGCCCCGAGAUGAGUUCUCCCUGACUCCUUGAGAGUCCUGAAGGAACGUUGAAGACGACGACGUUGAUAGGCCGGGUGUGUAAGCGCAGCGAUGCGUUGAGCUAACCGGUACUAAUGAACCGUGAGGCUUAACCUU